GACGAACGCUGGCGGCGUGCCUAAUACAUGCCAGUGGGACGCAAGGAAACACACUGUGCUUGCACACCGUGUUUUCUUGAGUCGCGAACGGGUGAGUAACGCGUAGGUAACCUGCCUAUUAGCGGGGGAUAACUAUUGGAAACGAUAGCUAAUACCGCAUAAUAUUAAUUAUUGCAUGAUAAUUGAUUGAAAGAUGCAAGCGCAUCACUAGUAGAUGGACCUGCGUUGUAUUAGCUAGUUGGUAAGGUAAGAGCUUACCAAGGCGACGAUACAUAGCCGACCUGAGAGGGUGAUCGGCCACACUGGGACUGAGACACGGCCCAGACUCCUACGGGAGGCAGCAGUAGGGAAUCUUCGGCAAUGGACGAAAGUCUGACCGAGCAACGCCGCGUGAGUGAAGAAGGGUUUCGGAUCGUAAAGCUCUGUUGUAAGUCAAGAACGUGUGUGAGAGUGGAAAGUUCACACAGUGACGGUAGCUUACCAGAAAGGGACGGCUAACUACGUG
RNAcentral lists this ribosomal RNA (505 nucleotides) under uncultured bacterium. RNAcentral's name for it is "partial 16S ribosomal RNA". It matches the Rfam family "Bacterial small subunit ribosomal RNA", at positions 28 to 507 of the family's 1533-position model. The record is from RNAcentral.